GACGAACGCUGGCGGCGCGCUUAACACAUGCAAGUCGAGCGAUGAAAUUUCGACAGAUCCCUUCGGGGUGAAGAUGAAAUGGAUUAGCGGCGGACGGGUGAGUAACACGUGAGUAACCUGCCUUUGACAUUGGGAUAGCCUCGGGAAACUGGGAUUAAUACCAAAUGACACUAACUGAUCACAUGAUCAAUUAGUCAAAGAAAUUCGGUCAAAGAUGGACUCGCGGCUGAUUAGCUAGUUGGUGAGGUAACGGCCCACCAAGGCGACGAUCAGUAGCCGGCGUGAGAGGGUGAUCGGCCACAUUGGAACUGAGACACGGUCCAAACUCCUGCGGGAGGCAGCAGUGGGGAAUAUUGCACAAUGGGGGAAACCCUGAUGCAGCGACGCCGCGUGAGCGAAGAAGGCCUUCGGGUCGUAAAGCUCUUUUAUGAGGGAAGAUAAUGACGGUACCUCAAGAAAAAGCCCCGGCUAACUACGUG
This 479-nucleotide ribosomal RNA is filed under the name uncultured bacterium. RNAcentral describes it as "partial 16S ribosomal RNA". It matches the Rfam family "Bacterial small subunit ribosomal RNA", at positions 28 to 507 of the family's 1533-position model. The record is from RNAcentral.